Acinonyx jubatus (cheetah) is the source of this 2389-nucleotide long non-coding RNA. RefSeq lists it as uncharacterized. The transcript has 4 exons. NCBI's taxonomy places the organism in Eukaryota, Metazoa, Chordata, Mammalia, Carnivora, Felidae. The record is from RefSeq and is a predicted model, not a curated record.
CCUUUUUUCUUUUUCUUCUCAGAAUACUGAUGAGUUUCUUUGCUGGAGCAUCACAAGGGAUUCUGAUUUUGAUUCUGUUAAAAUUGUGGCCAAGAGCUUCAUGUGCAGAGCUUCACAUGUUAAUUGGUGGAUCAGACAUUAGGAAAGUUAAACAGGACACUGGCAUAAAACUAGUCUCAUUGAACUGUGCAGUUCUUCUGCUAAUGGAGCCAACACAUGAAGAGUUAUCACUUCACUUUUCAUUUGUCCAAAAGAAAACUUGGAAUCCAAAGUGGGCGAAGUUAAUGAAGAAAAUCAUCUGAGAAAAAACGUGUGACUGUUGGGAUAAACUUGAAGUAGGCCAAAAUAGAGAACUUCAUUUGGCAGACAUUCUGGAAACAGAAUGCUUCUGAGCCUUGGGAGUGUCUGAAUGUUCACAAUGAUACUGAACUUCAGGACAUGGAGUGUGGUGGAUGGACUGUAGAAGACUGGCGUUGUGGGUAGGAAGAAAAAGUCAGAGGUUAUGUUGUCACCUCUGUGAACAAUAAUGAAUGUGGAUUAAAGGAGUUGAGUUGACUCUGUCAGCCCUUCUGGAGCCCACAACUGAGCAGGGAUAGCUCAGUGAACAUCAAGCCAGAGUAUGAGAUGUUUCAGAGUGCAGACAGAGGAUGCACCAAGGGGUGUGGUAGGGUGAAGUUUCCAGUGAUGGUGGCUGGGGCAUCCAACUGAGGGAGUUAAAUAAAGGGUUGUAUGGAGUAAAGAGUGUCUGGAUUAGAGAGGCGGAUUGAGUUCAGGACAAGGAUAGAUUCCUUAGAGAAGGCUCCUUUCAAAGACCUAAUUCUGGAAGGAAUUUUCUUGGGGUAGAAUAAAGCAGCAACUAUACUAACUAAAGGUCCCAGUUUCUAUUACACUGGCUGCAAUGUAGACAUAUGUCUACUUCAUACCUCUGAGUCUUUGAUAUGUCGGGUCAGUGAAGGGAUGAAAACUAUUCACCCCAGUUAUAUCAUAGAGCUGUGUGAUGAUUAAUUUUAUGCACCAACCUAGCUAGGCUAUGGUACAAACACAACAGAUGUUGCUGUAAAAAUAUUUUUUAGAUGUGAUUAACAUUUAAGUCAGUAGACUUUGAGGAAAGCAGACUAUCCUCCAUAAUGUGGGCAGGCCUCAUCUAAUCAGUUGAAGGCCUUAAGAAAAAAGGCUGAGAUCUCUAGAAGAGGAAGAAAUUCUGCCUUCAGACUGCCUUUGCACUCAUGACUGUAACACUGAUACCUGCCAGACUUUCCAGCCUGAUACUGCCCCCAUAAUUGCAUUAACCAAUUGCUUAAAACAAAAAUAAAUCUCUCUGUCAUAUACAUAUAUACAUUCUGUUUGUUCUGUUUCUCGGGAGGACCCUAACUAUACAGGCAGGUGAUCAGGUGAUCCUGGAGUAGCACUAACCCCCAUGCCACUUCCUCUGAUUCUCAUUGGGAGCAGUACCAUGAGGAGCCACUGCUGGUUUGCCCUAGCACCAGAUUUCUUUCUUCAAGCCCAAGCCUGAGUAACAGUAAGACUAAACACACAGCUCAUUAAAAUACAUUUCUUCAUUUAGGGGAAGGCAGAACCUGCCUGGGUUGUCUAAGAGCCAUCAUGUACAUGGGAGUGGGGCUAUUAUUUCCCACAGCUGGAUGGGUGCAGCCUUGGCCUUGGAAUUCUGGGGAGUGAGGCUGUGCCCUUUGACUUCAGGCAUACCCUCGACAGCUACACAGGGUGCUGUUAAAACUGUGUGUCUAAGAAGAUGGCUUCACCAUAUUUCCUUUCUUCUUUAUCCAGUCUCCUCACUGGAGAGAUGAUGCAAACAAAGACAUACAGGUUUAUAUUAAAAAUCUUUAGAGGAUGGUGUAUCUGUCUGCUCUCCUCCCAGCUCCCUAGCAACAGCUGUAUCAUCCUUUCAUAAAUCUUUUCAUGGAAAUUUUGGCUUUUCUGCGUAGGUCUGUUUUUACCUCUCGGUAUCUUUCCCCCUGCCUCUCUCUCUCUGCUUCUCCAUCUCCAUCUCCCUCUCUCCCUCUGUCCUUCCCUUUUCCUCCUUUUCCUCUCUUUGUCUCUGUUUCUCUGUAUGCUUCUUUCCUGCUGGUGUGAUCUCCCACAUCAACCACUGUCCCAUUUUUUUGAUUCCUUCUCGGCAACAAGAGUUACAGCACCAUCAUGCAGCAAGCAGUCUUGCUUCCCUGCUACCUUAAAAUAAUAAUGUUUCAUGGUGACAAAUGGUUAUAGUCAACAAUGAAAGUAAAAUGCUUAGCAUACAAGGGUCAGAUUUCUCUGCCCAUCAAAAACAGAGUGGCUUAAGAAUCUCUGAAGAAAGGAAUAUGUACGUAAGGAUAGCUGGUGAUGCUUGCCAAGUGGACACCUCCACUGUUUUAUUCCAAAUUAAGCUUCU